Onychostoma macrolepis is the source of this 925-nucleotide long non-coding RNA. RefSeq lists it as uncharacterized. The transcript is spliced from 3 exons. The record is from RefSeq and is a predicted model, not a curated record. NCBI's taxonomy places the organism in Eukaryota, Metazoa, Chordata, Actinopteri, Cypriniformes, Cyprinidae.
ACAGAGUGGAAAAGACAGGACAAUGUGGAAUAUAACUCCGAAUGUGUUCGUCUAAAAGAGGAAUGUCAGACAUGCCUAGGAUGCCCUGAGGCCCCUCCAGCAGCUUUCUGCCUUUAGGCCAUUAGAAUAAUAUGUCAGUGUCUGGGUCAGAAGGAAGAACAUCACAAGUCAAUUUCUGAACCCUCUCCAACAGGACUCGUGUUGAGCUGUCCAAAACCUUGAAGGACUGGAAAGGGAAAAUAGACAUCCUGACAUCAAUGGUCCAGAGAUUCUCUGAUUUGUGUCCACGUCUGCUUCGGCAGCUUCUUUCAAAUCAUCUUGUGUUUACAGGACUGAAGGUAAACCUCUGACGGAUGACACAGGAGAUGUAUUUUUAGGGUCGGCCUGGUCAGCAGACCUAAUUGACUGCUACUGAUUAUAGUAUUUAAACCAACUCGCCCUCAGCCAUAAUGCAGCCUAACGGCGCUGCUCGUAAAAACAUCUGUGCAUGACUAAUGUUGUUAGGUGAUGUGACUGAGCGGACUUCCCAUGGGCUGCCUAUCUAUUAGAUUUACUACAACCCCACCCUGGAUUCGGAUACAACAUGCACAGCUAACAGGUUCGUUCGGUUCUGAAGGUGCAGUACAGUGCUUUUCCUCACAAAAUCAUCAAAUAUCUAUUAAACCAUUAUAAAAAUUCUCUAAAAUGGUGUAUGGGCAUUCUAACCACUUUUAUGAAUCUUUUUUUUGGUCAUUUAUAAAGGUUAAAAGCAUUGAAAAUAGCCACCAUUGCCAUUCACAUAUAACAAUGUAUUUAUUUAUCUGUUAACACUAUAUUCCGUAUUUAAUUCCCAGUAUACCUAAAAUUUAUUUGAGAAUAUAAAGAUCUAAUUAUAAAGCAUGCCUUCUAAAGCAUUAGGAAUUUUUUUUCACAGUUCACCAUUUUU